This 492-nucleotide ribosomal RNA is filed under the name uncultured bacterium. Its description in RNAcentral is "partial 16S ribosomal RNA". It matches the Rfam family "Bacterial small subunit ribosomal RNA", at positions 29 to 507 of the family's 1533-position model. The record is from RNAcentral.
AGUGAACGCUGGCGGUAGGCCUAACACAUGCAAGUCGAACGGCAGCACAGUAAGAGCUUGCUCUUACGGGUGGCGAGUGGCGGACGGGUGAGGAAUACAUCGGCUUCUUCUUUUUCGUGGGUGAUUACGUAGGGAAACUUACGCUAAUACCUCAUAUAAUCUACGGCUUAAUGCAGGAGAUCUUCAGACCUUUCGCGUCUGUAUGAGCUGAUGUCGGAUUAGCUAGUUGGCGGGGUAAAGGCCCACCAAGGCGACGAUCCGUAGCUGGUCUGAGAGGAUGAUCAGCCACACUGGAACUGAGACACGGUCCAGACUCCUACGGGAGGCAGCAGUGGGGAAUAUUGGACAAUGGGCGCAAGCCUGAUCCAGCCAUACCGCGUGGGUGAAGAAGGCCUUCGGGUUGUAAAGCCCUUUUGUUGGGAAAGAAAAGAAGCAGGUUAAUACCCCGCUGUUCUGACGGUACCCAAAGAAUAAGCACCGGCUAACUACGUG